GUAACGGCGAGUGAAGCGGCAAGAGCUCAAAUUUGAAAGCUGGCUCCUUCGGGGUCCGCAUUGUAAUUUGCAGAGGAUGCUUCGGGAGCGGUCCCCAUCUAAGUUCCCUGGAACGGGACGUCAUAGAGGGUGAAAAUCCCGUAUGGGAUGGGGUGUCCGCGCCCGUGUGAAGCUCCUUCGACGAGUCGAGUUGUUUGGGAAUGCAGCUCUAAAUGGGUGGUAAAUUUCAUCUAAAGCUAAAUAUUGGCCGGAGACCGAUAGCGCACAAGUAGAGUGAUCGAAAGAUGAAAAGCACUUUGAAAAGAGAGUUAAAAAGCACGUGAAAUUGUUGAAAGGGAAGCGCUUGCGACCAGACUCGCUCGCGGGGUUCAGCCGGCAUUCGUGCCGGUGUACUUCCCCGCGGGCGGGCCAACGUCGGUUUGGGCGGUCGGUCAAAGGCCCUCGGAAGGUAACGCCCCCAGGGGCGUCUUAUAGCCGAGGGUGCAAUGCGACCUGCCUAGACCGAGGAACGCGCUUCGGCUCGGACGUUGGCAUAAUGGUCGUAAGCGACCCGUACUGCGGAGGAUCAUUACCGAGCGAGAAUUCUCUGAAUUCAACCUCCCACCCGUGUUUAUUGUACCUUGUUGCUUCGGCGGGCCCGCCUCACGGCCGCCGGGGGGCAUCUGCCCCCGGGCCCGCGCCCGCCGAAGACACCUUGAACUCUGUAUGAAAAUUGCAGUCUGAGUCUAAAUAUAAAUUAUUUAAAACUUUCAACAACGGAUCUCUUGGUUCCGGCAUCGAUGAAGAACGCAGCGAAAUGCGAUACGUAAUGUGAAUUGCAGAAUUCAGUGAAUCAUCGAGUCUUUGAACGCACAUUGCGCCCCCUGGUAUUCCGGGGGGCAUGCCUGUCCGAGCGUCAUUGCUGCCCUCAAGCCCGGCUUGUGUGUUGGGUCUCGUCCCCCUUCCCGGGGGGACGGGCCCGAAAGGCAGCGGCGGCACCGCGUCCGGUCCUCGAGCGUAUGGGGCUUUGUCACCCGCUCUGUAGGCCCGGCCGGCGCUUGCCGAUCAACCAAAACUUUUUUCCAGGUUGACCUCGGAUCAGGUAGGGAUACCCGCUGAACUUAAGCAUAUC
Molecule: ribosomal RNA, 1111 nt
Filed under: Penicillium sp. SGLMf44
Lineage: Eukaryota; Fungi; Ascomycota; Eurotiomycetes; Eurotiales; Aspergillaceae
Description: eukaryotic LSU rRNA
Rfam family: Eukaryotic large subunit ribosomal RNA
Source: RNAcentral